This is a long non-coding RNA of Zophobas morio, 378 nucleotides long. RefSeq lists it as uncharacterized. The transcript is spliced from 3 exons. NCBI's taxonomy places the organism in Eukaryota, Metazoa, Arthropoda, Insecta, Coleoptera, Tenebrionidae. The record is from RefSeq and is a predicted model, not a curated record.
CAAAAAUAUCAUGACUUUCAUAUUAUUUAUAACCACCUGCAAAAAUAUAACUAUUGUCGUCUUGAAUUUGAAGUCAACGCUGUAGCCCUUGAAAGUUGCUCGAGACUUAAAAAUCAAAAGUUUGAUGCAGUAGUUUUUAACCAUCCUCAUCUUGGAAUUGAGGACAGUCAACUUAACGGCGCUUUAAUAUCGCACUUUUUUUACGCAAUAAAAACUUUUCUUAAACCAGAAGGUCAAAUUCAAAUAGCUUUACUGAACUCUCAAAGCGAACGCUAGGAUUUAAUUAACCCUGCUGAAUCACAGGGGUUUCUGCUACUUGACAAAAGUCCCUUUAAUAAACAUCUUUGCCAUUAUGGAUAUCAAGCCAAACGCAGUAAU